Molecule: ribosomal RNA, 258 nt
Filed under: Triticum aestivum (bread wheat)
Lineage: Eukaryota; Viridiplantae; Streptophyta; Magnoliopsida; Poales; Poaceae
Description: partial small subunit ribosomal RNA
Source: RNAcentral
AUGGCUGGUAAAAUCAAUAUCGUUGCCCCUAACUUGUCCCCCAAUGCUUCUAGAUUCUGGAAAGGCAUUAAAACCACUAUCCAGGCAUUGAAGUUUGGCUAUAAAUGGAAAAUUGGGUCAGGCACUAAAGUCAAAUUCUGGGAGGACACUUGGUUUGGUACCUCUCCUCUGGCUGUACAAUUCUGGCCUAUUUACUCCAUUUGCAAUGACAAACUAAGAGUAUUAGCGAGGUUUGUGAUGAGCAUCAGCUCAAACUGA